CCUACGGGAGGCAGCAGUAGGGAAUCUUCCGCAAUGGACGAAAGUCUGACGGAGCAACGCCGCGUGAACGAUGAAGGCCUUCGGGUCGUAAAGUUCUGUUGUUAGGGAAGAACAAGUGCUAGUUGAAUAAGCUGGCACCUUGACGGUACCUAACCAGAAAGCCACGGCUAACUACGUGCCAGCAGCCGCGGUAAUACGUAGGUGGCAAGCGUUGUCCGGAAUUAUUGGGCGUAAAGCGCGCGCAGGCGGUUUCUUAAGUCUGAUGUGAAAGCCCCCGGCUCAACCGGGGAGGGUCAUUGGAAACUGGGAAACUUGAGUGCAGAAGAGGAAAGUGGAAUUCCAAGUGUAGCGGUGAAAUGCGUAGAGAUUUGGAGGAACACCAGUGGCGAAGGCGACUUUCUGGUCUGUAACUGACGCUGAGGCGCGAAAGCGUGGGGAGCAAACAGGAUUAGAUACCCUGGUAGUCCACGCUGUAAACGAUGAGUGCUAAAGUGUUAGAGGGUUUCCGCCUUUAGUGCUGAAGUUAACGCAUUAAGCACUCCGCCUGGGGGAGGUACGGUCGCGAGACUAGAACUACAAGAAGUAGUACGGCGUGAGACGAGCGACGACGACGACGAGGGAGGAGG
This 626-nucleotide ribosomal RNA is filed under the name uncultured bacterium. RNAcentral's name for it is "bacterial SSU rRNA". It matches the Rfam family "Bacterial small subunit ribosomal RNA", at positions 338 to 953 of the family's 1533-position model. The record is from RNAcentral.